Molecule: long non-coding RNA, 482 nt
Filed under: Heterocephalus glaber (naked mole-rat)
Lineage: Eukaryota; Metazoa; Chordata; Mammalia; Rodentia; Bathyergidae
Description: lncRNA (ENSHGLG00000036412.1)
Source: RNAcentral
GAAGUGAAGCCCAGAAGCAGGGCACAGCACGGCUUUCAUAGACAGGAUAUUCUGUGGCUGCAGGGUUCGGCGGUUACAGGGAGGCACCAGACACCAUCUGUUCCCGGGGAGCGAUAGGGCGCGUUUACAGGAGCACAGCGAGCGAGCAGCUGUCCAGUGGGGAGUUCCAGCACUCUCUGCUCACCUCAAAGCCUGCCAUCAGACGCUGGGCCAGGGAAGGCAUCGUGUCCAGAGGAGGAAGGCCAGGCCGAAGCAAGGAGGCCGCCAACACUCUCUCUGGUUGGCAGGCCAGUUGGAGAACUGGUCACCUACAGCCUCUGCCGCACUCAGCCGGAGAGGGACACUUCCUGGGAGCAGCCGUGUCCACGCAGCCAGGGCUUCAGCCAAGUGCUCAGCACCCAGGAGCCCCGAGGGGAGGCAGAGCCCUGGACAAACCUCCUCCUGAGUUGAGAGCAUCAUUCCCUUUGGGGAGCCUUCCUUGG